RNAcentral lists this RNase P RNA (328 nucleotides) under human gut metagenome. RNAcentral's name for it is "Bacterial RNase P class A". It matches the Rfam family "Bacterial RNase P class A". From Rfam's summary of the family: Ribonuclease P (RNase P) is a ubiquitous endoribonuclease, found in archaea, bacteria and eukarya as well as chloroplasts and mitochondria. The record is from RNAcentral.
GAGUUGGCCGUGCGGCCGCGCGGCGAAAGCCGUGAGGAAAGUCCGGGCACCGCAGAGCAGAACGCCGGAUAACGUCCGGUGGAGGCGACUCCAAGGAUAGUGCAACAGAAACAGACCGCAGAGAGAUCUGCAAGGAUGGAAAGGGGAGGUAAGAGCUCACCGGCGCUCCGGUAACGGAGCGCGCUGUGUAAACCCCGUUCGGUGCAAGAUUGGGUCCGUGCCAGCAGGAUUGCUCGUCCGGCGCGGGCUGUGAACAUCGCUCGAGCGUAUCGGCGACGAUACGCCAAGAUAGAUGGCCGCACACGACAGAACCCGGCUUACAGGCCAA